This 423-nucleotide ribosomal RNA is filed under the name uncultured bacterium. RNAcentral's name for it is "partial 16S ribosomal RNA". It matches the Rfam family "Bacterial small subunit ribosomal RNA", at positions 360 to 776 of the family's 1533-position model. The record is from RNAcentral.
AAUUUUGGACAAUGGGCGCAAGCCUGAUCCAGCCAUGCCGCGUGAGUGAAGAAGGCCUUCGGGUUGUAAAGCUCUUUCGGACGGAAAGAAAUCGCGCAGGCUAAUACCCUGCGCGGAUGACGGUACCGUCAUAAGAAGCACCGGCUAACUACGUGCCAACAGCCGCGGUAAUACGUAGGGCGCGAGCGUUAAUCGGAAUUACUGGGCGUAAACGGUGCGCAGGCGGUUGAUUAAACCAGGCUUGAAAUCCCCGGGCUUAACCUGGGAACUGCGCUUGGAACUGGUCGGCUGGAGUACGGAAGAGGGGGGUGGAAUUCCACGUGUAGCGGUGAAAUGCGUGGAGAUGUGGGGAAACACCAUUGGCGAAGGAGGCCCCUGGGCCGAUACUGACGCUCAUGCACGAAAGCGUGGGUAGCAAACAGG